GAUGAACGCUGGCGGCGUGCCUAAUACAUGCAAGUCGAGCGAACAGACGCGGCGCUUGCUCCUCUCACGUUAGCGGCGGACGGGUGAGUAACACGUGGAUCACCUACUUAUAAGUCUGGGAUCACUUCGGGAAACCGGCGCUUAUCCCGUAUGAUCUCUUGAACCGCAUGGUUCAAUAGUGAAUGACGGUUUUUGUGUCCCUUCUCGCUGGAUCCGCGCCGCAUUCGCUAGUUGGUAAGGUAACGGCUUACCACGGCGACGAUGCGUAGCCGACCUGAGAGGGUGAUCGGCGACAUGGGAAGGGAGACACGGACCAGACGACUGCGGGAGGGAGCAGUAGGGUAUGUUAGGCAAUAGGGGAAAGCCUGACAGAACAAGGCCGCGUGAGUGAUGAAGGUCUUGCGAUCGGAAAAACGUGUUUUGGGGGAAAAACAAAUUUCGAAUGAAACAAAGCCGUCUUGACGGUAACGAGUCAAAAAGCAACGGCUAACUACGUG
This 497-nucleotide ribosomal RNA is filed under the name uncultured bacterium. Its description in RNAcentral is "partial 16S ribosomal RNA". It matches the Rfam family "Bacterial small subunit ribosomal RNA", at positions 28 to 507 of the family's 1533-position model. The record is from RNAcentral.